Molecule: ribosomal RNA, 465 nt
Filed under: Vreelandella stevensii
Lineage: Bacteria; Pseudomonadati; Pseudomonadota; Gammaproteobacteria; Oceanospirillales; Halomonadaceae
Description: partial 16S ribosomal RNA
Rfam family: Bacterial small subunit ribosomal RNA
Source: RNAcentral
CCUACGGGGGGCAGCAGUGGGGAAUAUUGGACAAUGGGCGAAAGCCUGAUCCAGCCAUGCCGCGUGUGUGAAGAAGGCCUUCGGGUUGUAAAGCACUUUCAGUGGGGAAGAAAGCCUUGGGGCUAAUACCCUCGAGGAAGGACAUCACCCACAGAAGAAGCACCGGCUAACUCCGUGCCAGCAGCCGCGGUAAUACGGAGGGUGCGAGCGUUAAUCGGAAUUACUGGGCGUAAAGCGCGCGUAGGCGGUCUGAUAAGCCGGUUGUGAAAGCCCCGGGCUAAACCUGGGAACGGCAUCCGGAACUGUCAGGCUAGAGUGCAGGAGAGGAGGGUAGAAUUCCCGGUGUAGCGGUGAAAUGCGUAGAGAUCGGGAGGAAUACCAGUGGCGAAGGCGGCCUUCUGGACUGACACUGACGCUGAGGUGCGAAAGCGUGGGUAGCAAACAGGAUUAGAUACCCCAGUAGUC